RNAcentral lists this ribosomal RNA (424 nucleotides) under uncultured prokaryote. RNAcentral describes it as "bacterial SSU rRNA". It matches the Rfam family "Bacterial small subunit ribosomal RNA", at positions 355 to 796 of the family's 1533-position model. The record is from RNAcentral.
UGGGGAAUAUUGGACAAUGCGGGAAACCGUGAUCCAGCAAUGCCGCGUGAGUGAUGAAGGCCUUAGGGUUGUAAAGCUCUUUUACCAGGGAUGAUAAUGACAGUACCUGGAGAAUAAGCUCCGGCUAUGUCGGUGCCAGCAGCCGCGGUAAUACGGAGGGAGCUAGCGUUGUUCGGAAUUACUGGGCGUAAAGCGGGCGUAGGCGGCUAUUCAAGUCAGGGGUGAAAUGCCGGGGCUCAACCCCGGAACUGCCCUUGAAACUAGGUAGCUAGAAUACUGGAGAGGUGAGUGGAAUUCCGAGUGUAGAGGUGAAAUUCGUUGAUAUUCGGAAGAACACCAGUGGCGAAGGCGACUCACUGGACAGUUAUUGACGCUGAGGUGCGAAAGCGUGGGGAGCAAACAGGAUUAGAUACCCCUGUAGUAC